UUUGCGCGGUCUUAGGAAGGCAGAGUAUAGCUGAGGUGGUGUGCUGUGCAGCCUAUGUUUCGCGUAUUUAUUUUCUUAGAGGCAAGUCCCAUUGAGUUUAGGGGGUUUACUCGUGAGUGCGUUGCGCAGCCGAGUCUGUUGCUUACUGGACAGUAGUGGGGCUUUCUCUCGAAAGUUUGAACACAUUCACUUGCUUCUGAAUAAAGAUACACAAGAUUGGAUUACUUGGGAGUUGAAAUCAAUGUAAAACUGCUGAUAAUCAUGCUCAUAAUAAAGAAUGAAAAAACAGUGGGGAAAAACACAUAAGCAUUACAAUGACAUCUGAGCCACCAACACAAUUCCAUGAAUGAAGCAGGAUAAUAGUACCUGAAAAGCUUAACCCGAAAGCAUUUAUAGGCUUUAAGAUUGCCAUAGGUGCUUCUGGAACUUGCUUGUUUUUGUGAUCAACAGGAAAAGCUAUUUUGAACUAACCUGCAUGACAGAUGACCGUGAAAGGCAUAGGACUUGAUCCAGACUAAUGCUGCAGUCCUAUGCACACAUAUUUGGAAGUGAGCCCUAUUGAAUAAAAUGGGACUUAUUUCUAAGCAAACAGUGCAUAGACUUGCACUGCAUAUUGACUGAAAUUAGGUCCCAGUGAAUCAGCUAGACAAGUUCAUAAUUAUUGAAAUUCCACUGAUUUCAUACGAACUAGGUUCAUGUA
Long non-coding RNA from Varanus komodoensis (Komodo dragon), 700 nucleotides. RefSeq lists it as uncharacterized. Lineage: Eukaryota; Metazoa; Chordata; Lepidosauria; Squamata; Varanidae. The record is from RefSeq and is a predicted model, not a curated record. The transcript has 3 exons.